This 247-nucleotide ribosomal RNA is filed under the name uncultured bacterium. RNAcentral describes it as "partial 16S ribosomal RNA". It matches the Rfam family "Bacterial small subunit ribosomal RNA", at positions 107 to 354 of the family's 1533-position model. The record is from RNAcentral.
UGAGUAACGCGUGAGGAACCUGCCUUCCAGAGGGGGACAACAGUUGGAAACGACUGCUAAUACCGCAUGAUACAUUUAGGCCGCAUGGUCUGAAUGUCAAAGAUUUAUCGCCGAAAGAUGGCCUCGCGUCUGAUUAGCUGGUUGGCGGGGUAACGGCCCACCAAGGCGACGAUCAGUAGCCGGACUGAGAGGUUGGCCGGCCACAUUGGGACUGAGACACGGCCCAGACUCCUACGGGAGGCAGCAG